UACGUAGGAGGCGAGCGUUGUCCGGAGUUACUGGGCGUAAAGGGUGCGUAGGCGGUCGCGUAAGUCGGAUGUGAAAUCUCAGGGCUCAACCCUGAAACUGCAUUCGAUACUGCGUGGCUAGGGUACUGGAGAGGAGACUGGAAUUUACGGUGUAGCAGUGAAAUGCGUAGAUAUCGUAAGGAAGACCAGUGGCGAAGGCGAGUCUCUGGACAGUUACCGACGCUGAGGCACGAAGGUCAGGGGAGCAAACGGG
RNAcentral lists this ribosomal RNA (253 nucleotides) under uncultured bacterium. RNAcentral's name for it is "partial 16S ribosomal RNA". It matches the Rfam family "Bacterial small subunit ribosomal RNA", at positions 524 to 776 of the family's 1533-position model. The record is from RNAcentral.